AACGGUCUAUACCUGCGGUACCUGCGGAGGGAUCAUUAACGAAUAUCUAUGGCGUUGGUUGUAGCUGGCUCCUAGGAGCAUUUGUGCACACCCGUCAUUCAUAUCAUCUUUCCACCUGUGAACUAUGUGUAGGCCUGGAUACCUCUCGCUUUGGUGACAAGGCGGAUGCAAGGAUUGCUGCGUCGACAAGGCCAGCUCUCUUUGAAUUUCCAGGUUUACGUUUUUUUACACACCCCAUUU
RNAcentral lists this unclassified non-coding RNA (240 nucleotides) under soil metagenome. RNAcentral's name for it is "partial contains 5.8S ribosomal RNA, internal transcribed spacer 2, and large subunit ribosomal RNA". The record is from RNAcentral.